CUCUGCAGCUGUACAGGCCUGCAAGAGAGUGGGGCAGGUGUCGGUGAAUGACACUGUGGUGGUAGCCGAGGCCAGAUUUGCGGUGGCAUGGGAAACUGGCACACCUAACUUCUGCAAGCCUAAUGCAGACAAGUUCACACUGCCCACCUCUAAUAACUGGAUGAAAGAAUUUGAUUCUGUACCAUGUAGAUCCAUCAGGACACCAUCAACUCAAUACAUGCGACCACCUAGGGAAAACAACCUGAUGACCAUAUCUGUUACCAACGGACCUGCCAAGCCUCCAGCUAGAUGCACUCGCAUCUGUAUCAACCCUUUCCUCACUUCCCAGCCCAGUCUUGCUGCCAACUUCGGAUCCACAAAGGUUGUGGACACCCCUGUGUCAAGUAAGAAUUUAGGAGAGGGGGCUGAUAAAUGGCUGUCAGCAGAGACAGGAAUGGAUAUGGAGAGCAGAGGAUGGAACAGAGCAUAUGUUGCAUCAUGGGAGUCAUCAUCAGCUGGAGGAACGGUUUGAGCUAACAUCAAGUACACUGAGGUAGCAUUGCCUGCUGUCAGUUCAGUCUCCAAAUGAUGGACCUUGGGUGGGUUGAGGUGAGGGUAUGAGUGGGGCACUUGGGAUGUUGAUGGCCCAGUUUGCGACAAUCAUAACAAUGAUUCUCCUUUCAAAAGACCUCCUGAAUGUAACAGCCCACAGGUGAGAGGUAAUAGGGCAGGGCAUGGGCAGGGUCAUAAUAGUAUGAAAUUGGGUGGGGUAGUUGGACAUUGUUGGAGGUGGUCUUUUAGUGGUGCAUUGAGAGGAUUGGGAAGCUGCAUGUUCAUGCUGGAUACAGUUGACAUGAUUGCUGAUCAAAGUGCAGAGAUGGUCUAGGUCAUCAACAUGGAACUCUGGUUCACCAACCAGACAGAGGAAAAGGCCCUCUGUGCAACUGAUGCAAUAAAGGUCAGCAAUUGGUGAAUCACUCAGGUAAUGAUUCAUACCAAGAAGAUGACUACAGUGUAGGAUUACCACAUUGUCAAAGGUUCACCAGGCCUCAAAACAUACAUACCUCAUGGAAAGAGAGACAACAGGUGGUUGCCAGGAUCACUGGCUGUGUUUCAGAAAUAGCAGUUGCCAGAAGUCACUUGCCAUGUUUUUGGACCAAAUCACACCUGCCAAUGCCAUCCAAUGCAUGGGAAUAAAUCCUACCAUUGAUGGGCCAACUGGUGGUGAGGGCUCUGCCCUUACACCUACCUGAGCAGGGGUGUCAAUAUAAACACUAAGCACUGUUCUGCCCAGUCAGCACAUUGUCAGGAAGAGGAACAAGCAUAAAAGGACACCCACCAAACAUGCUGAAAGACCAUAGCAUAAGGAGGCUCUCUUACAGAUGGGAAAAGAAGAGAGGAACUUUAGAAGGAUUUGCAGUCUAAAUAUAUCUCUGGGUGUUUGGGAUGGCAUGGGAAAAAAACAAGAAUGGGAAAAACCCAUGCAUGGCUGGCAGCCACAUGGGAGCAAUGUGCAAGGCUGAAACACAGCCAGAGGCCAUGUGUGAGGAGGCCAAGUUCAGGCAUUGGCUGAAUGCAGAAAGAUGGCACAUUGCAGAUGCUGUGAGGCAUAACUACCCAUUCCAACAACCCAAGGGGAGUAGUAAUAGCUGUCUUGGAAAUGUCAUCCUCAUUCAUAAGCAUCUGGAAGAAGGCAUCCUUGCAGUCCAGCUUGGCAAAUAUCUUCCCUUUCUGUGCAGCAGAAUGUAAGAUGUCCUGGAUGCUUCCCAUGCAGUACAUGUCAGGAAUCAUGACAUUGUUGAGAGCUUGAAAGUUUGCAAACCAUGCAGAAUUUACCAUUCCCCUUAGAAACAAGAAAUGCAAGAGAUGCCCAAGGAGGACUCAAAUAAUGAAGGUAGCCUGCAUUCAGGUGUUCCAAGGGCAUCUCAUGGAAACAGGGAAGCAGGGCUUCAG
This 1932-nucleotide small RNA is filed under the name Cryptococcus neoformans H99. Its description in RNAcentral is "Cryptococcus neoformans var. grubii H99 hypothetical RNA". Lineage: Eukaryota; Fungi; Basidiomycota; Tremellomycetes; Tremellales; Cryptococcaceae. The record is from RNAcentral.